CACGUAGUUAGCCGUGGCUUCCUCCUCAGGUACCGUCAUUAUCGUCCCUGAAGACAGAGCUUUACAACCCGAAGGCCGUCAUCACUCACGCGGCGUUGCUGCAUCAGGGUUUCCCCCCAUUGUGCAAUAUUCCCCACUGCUGCCUCCCGUAGGAGUCUGGGCCGUGUCUCAGUCCCAAUGUGGCCGAUCACCCUCUCAGGUCGGCUACGCAUCGUCGCCUUGGUGAGCCGUUACCUCACCAACUAGCUAAUGCGCCGCGGGCCCAUCUCAUAGCGGAUUACUCCUUUAAUUGCUACUUCAUGCGAAGCUACAAUCUUAUGCGGUAUUAAUCUCCCUUUCGGAAGGCUAUUCCCCUCUAUGAGGUAGGUUGCCCACGUGUUACUCACCCGUUCGCCGCUAGCUUUGUUCCGAAGAACUCCACUCGCUCGACUUGCAUGUGUUAGGCACGCCGCCAGCGUCGUCCUGUAGCCAGGACUCGAAACUCU
RNAcentral lists this ribosomal RNA (485 nucleotides) under uncultured Clostridium sp. Its description in RNAcentral is "partial 16S ribosomal RNA". The record is from RNAcentral. Lineage: Bacteria; Bacillati; Bacillota; Clostridia; Eubacteriales; Clostridiaceae.